UGAUAUCUUUAUAUGAAAGAUCAAUUAAUCAUUUUAUUUUUUUUUAUUUCUAAACCUAACUUAAACUGGAUUGAAUAUUGUGAUAAAAAUUCUAUUUUGAUAUGACAAUUAGAAUGUUUUAAUGUUAAUUUAUUGAUUCAUGGUCUUUUUUCCCCUAUUUAUUUCCUACUAUUUUUUUUUUAUGUAAAAUAGGAGAGUUUUUUUAUGCUUAUUAUUUUGCUUAAUUUUGAAAUGGUUUUGGUUGUUGUAAAAUAGGUUUGCCUGCUACUGAAGUUCAUUUGUCAUUAGUUCAGUGCCAUUUGUCUUUUACCUAUUUUCUAUGAUUUUAUAGAUUUACUGAUAUUCAAUAUGAUACAAAUUUUCUAUUAGAUUGUAUGCAGUAUUUGUCGAAACCACAAUUUCUAAAAAGUACAUUUUUUUCUCAAUGUAUGAAAAUUUGUUACAAUGCAAAUAAAUCAAAUAACAGAAUUAAUGUCUUUCUCUAAAAUAUUGUUUGAAUAUUUUUUACCUUAUUUGUUGUAUUGAGAAUUUAAAUGAAAUGCACAAUACUGCAUGAGAUUAUGUAUGAAAAAAGGUUAAUUAAGAAUUUACUUUUGAGGUUAUCAAGAUUUGAGAAUUUUUAAUAUUUACCCAAAACCAAAAAUGGAUGUCAUGGAAGUAUAAACUUAUUUGAUGUGUUUCCAUGGAGUUGUACUGUGUAUGAUCAUUUAUAAAGGUGUAUUUUUUUUUUUUGUAAAUGUUGUAAUCACAAAUGAUAGUUUAAAAUCAUGUAAAACUGUAACCAUGUCAAUAUAGGUUUGUCACAGAGAAAGCCAGUAGAAUUAUGUAUUUAAAAUCAGCAUUUAAUAUGUUAUAUUUUCAAAGCUAAUUAUCUUAAUCAGAAAUUAUAAUUAUAAAUGUACUGAAUCAUUUUGUAAUGAAUGAUUGAUAAUACUGUUUUUUGUUGAGUACUUUGGACUUUUCCAUAAAGAAAAGAUCAUGAUGUCUUUUAUGGCACCUUUUCAGAAACUCUUCAACCUGAAGAAUAUAUUCUUUUUUUAAUUACUUUAUUGUAAAUGAAUUUAAGAUAAUCAAAAAAGGCAAAACUGUAUUGAAUGGUUUGAUACAUAAGGUCCUACAGUUAAAAAAAUGAAAUCAAGGAAUUGCCUAUAUAAAAGUUAUAACUCCUGUUCCACCUUAAAAAUGUUUGUAAAUUUAGUAAUGGAACACCCCUAAUUUAUGGAUCAGUCCUAAUUGAGAAUUAGUGCACAGGGUUUUUAAAUGUGAAUUCCAUUUGUGUUCAGAUAAAUGUUAAGUGCUAUGCAUGUGUCUGUGUGCUAAUUAAUUGUUUUAUUCUGAUAUUAUGUUUCAAGUAUAUAUAUAUAUUGUAGCUUUACUUGCCAACAGCAUAAUGAUGUGCCAGUUUAUUUUUUAAGGAUUUAUUUUAAUUGUAUGUUGACGUGUAGAUCUGUUUGUGAAUUUGUUUAUUAUUUUGUUUUUUGUUUUUUUUUCCUCUCCAAAAUGUGCAUGAAAUAUUAUGAAAUAAGCACAAAGCUGAUAUACUUAUACUUUCAUAUAGAUACCAGCCGAUAAGAAGUUUUAAGAAAUAAAUUUUCACGUUUCAUGUGAUAUUUUAUUUUGACAAAAUGUUUAGAUUUUAGAACAAAAUUGAUUUCUUGAACUAAAUUAUGAUCAAUCGAUAAAAUAAGAAUAUAUUAACAUUCAAUCAAAACAUAUAAGAUUCAUUUCACAUGACUUUACAGAAAUUUCAGAUCCUUUUUUUUUCCAGUUCAAAAGUCUUUGAGAACUAAAAACUUAAAAGUUUUAUCUCAAGUCUAAUUUUAGCUCACUUGUCAGAAAUGCUUUUAGAAAAUUAAAAGAAAAAUGGUGUCACCAAACUUUUUUCUGGCUUUAAUACAAAAUACUUUUUACUGUACAUUAUAAAAUUAGAUUAAAUGACAUAUUCCUCUUCAAGGGCUCAAAUGAAAAUAAAGUAAAUCAAUUUAAAAUAUGUGGUAUUCAGAAAAUAGUUCUAAUAUUAAGAUACAAGCAUAUAAAUUUCCUCAUUAAAUGAAAAGGUAUCCCUGCAUCAAAAUUUACCUAUUUCUUUAAUCAUCUUGACCAAUUGUUUCUGCUACUUAGAAUCCAAGAUGGAAGAAGACCCACCUACUGCUUGAAUAUGAAAUUCAUGACACUAAGGACAGUAAAUAGCAUUAUGCAUGAAAAAUGUAAUAAAAAAAUUUAUUAUCACAUGUAGAAUUAAUUCCAAACACAUUUAUAUUGAAUACAUAUAUAGAUUGUUUUUGGUUUUUUUUGUUGUUUAAUUUAUUUUCCAUUUUAACAGGGCUAGAUAUGGUGGUAAAAUUAGGUUGUUUUGUGUUAGACCACAAUGUUUUUGUUUUAUUGGUAAAAAGUUUUAAAAAAUUGUCAAGCAUUAUUCAUUUUAUUUACUGUCUCAUAUAUUGGCCAGUUACAACAAUAUAUAGUUUAUAUUAUACAACUGUGUAUAUCCUCUUUGUUAAAUUUCAACUCUUAAUCAAAUUAUUGUUCAUGAAAAUAUAUAUUUGACUGAAUGUAUGUACAAGAAUCCUCCAAGAUUUUUUUAACCAGUAGCAUUUCUUUCCUUUUCUAAUUUCUGUUUUUUUUAAGCCAAAAAUUUUUAACUCAACUGUUGAUUAUUCUUUCUUUAAAAACUAAAAAAAUUUGUAAAAUGGAAAAAUUAACAAAUUGAAAAUAUAUAUCAUAGUGGUAUAUAGCUUUGCUAGUUUUUAUACGACCGCAAAAAAUUUUUUGUGGUCGUAUAUUGGUAUGACGUUGGCGUCGUCGUCGUCGUCGUCGUCGUCGUCGUCCGGCAUCGUCCGAAGACACAUUGGUUUUCGCACUCUAACUUUAGUUUAAGUCAAUGGAUCUCUAUGAAAUUUUACCAUAAGGUUCAAUACCACAAAAGGAAGGUUGGGAUUGAUUUUGGGGGUUAUGGUACCAACAGUAAAGGAAUUAGGGGCCAAAAGGGGCCAAAAAUAAGCAUUUUUGUAACUUCCAGACAUAACUUGUGUGUUAGUGUAUGGAUCUCUCUGACAUUGUACCACAAGGUUCCAUAUCACAAAAGGAAUGCUGGGAUUGAUUUUGGGGGUAAUUGCCUCAAAAUUUUAGGAAUUAGGGGCCAAAAAAGGGGCAAAAAACAAGCAUUUUUCUAGUUUCAUGAUAAUAACUUGUGUGUAAGUGUAUGGAUCUUUCUGAAAUUGUACUACAAGGUUCCAUAUCACAAAGGGAAAGCUGGAAUUGAGUUUGGGGGUAAUUGCCCUAAACGUUUAGGAAUUUGGGGCCAAAAAGGGGCCAAAAAACACAUUUUUUUUAGUUUCCAGACAAUAACUUGUGUUCAAGUGUAUGGAUCUCUCUGAAAUUGUACUGCAAGGUACCAUACCACAAAGGGAAGGCUGGGAUUGAGUUUGGGGUGAUGAAUCAUAAGGGGGUUCAAAAAAUUUGGGGGGGGAUUUUUUUUUUCCUUUUUUUUUUCUUUUAAAAUUUUCCAUUUUAAGUUGGUUAUUUCUGAUUUAUAUUUAAAAGCAAAUAAUAAUGAUAUGGUAGGAGAUACACACCAAACAGGAUGUGUAAAUUUUUAUAUAAUAAGUAUUGCGCAAUAGCAAGAAAUUUUCAAUUGCACAGUAUUGCACAAUAGCAAGAAAUCUUCAAUUGCACAGUAUUGCACAAUAGCAAGAAAUCUUCAAUUGCACAGUAUUGCGCAAUAGCAAGAAUUAUCCAAUAGCACAGUAUUGCGCAAUAGCAAGAAAUUGUCAAUUGUACAGUAUUGCGCAAUAGCAGGAAAUAUUCAAUUGCACAGUAUUGUGCAAAAGAAGAUACUUCGUAUAAAUUGCUUAUUUCUUGACCAAUUUCAAUGGGGUUUUAUUCUUGAAUUCUUGGGGUUCUUUAAUAUGCUGAAUCUAACCGUGUAUUAAGUUUUUGGAUUUUGGGCGCCGUUUUUAAAUUGGUCCACAUUGAGGUCCAAAGGGUCCAAAAUUAAACUUUGUUUGAUUUCAUCAAAAAUUAAAUUAUUGGGGUUCUUUGAUAUGCCGAAUCUAACCGUGUAUUUAGAUUCUUAAUUUUUGGUUCCGUUUUCAAAUUGGUCUACAUUAAGGUCCAAAGGGUCCAAAAUUAAACUUAGUUUGAUUUUAACAAAAAUUGAAUUCUUAGGGUUCUUUGAUAUGCUGAAUCUAAACAUGUAUUUAGAUUUUUGAUAAUGGGCCCAGUUUUCAAGUUGGUCCAAAUCGGGGUCCAAAAUUAAACUUUGUUUGAUUUCAACAAAAAUUGAAUAUAUGGGGUUCUUUGAUAUGCUGAAUCUAACCAUGUAUUUAGAUUUUUGAUUUUUGGGCCCCGUUAUCAACUUUGUCCACAUUGAGGUCAAAAGGGUCCAAUUUUAAACUUUGUUUGAUUUCAUCAAAAAUUGAAUUCUUGGGGUUCUUUGAUAUGCUGAAUCUAACCAUGUAUUUAGAUUUUUGAUUUUUGGGCCCCGUUAUCAACUUUGUCCACAUUGAGGUCAAAAGGGUCCAAUUUUAAACUUUGUUUGAUUUCAUCAAAAAUUGAAUUCUUGGGGUUCUUUGAUAUGCUGAAUCUAACCAUGUAUUUAGAUUUUGGAUAUUGGACCAUAAUAGGUGAAUGUCCAAUUUAAAAUUUUUAAGUUCUUAGACCACAUUCAUUCUGUGUCAGAAACCUAUGCUGUGUCAAAUAUUUAAUCACAAUCCAAAUGCAAAGCUGUAUCAAGCUUGAAUGUUGUGUCCAUACUUGCCCCAACUGUUCAGGGUUCGACCUCUGCGGUCGUAUCAAGCUGCGCCCUGCGGAGCAUUUUAUUGUUCAUUAACUUGACUGCCGAUCUGUGAUCAGAGAGUUAGCUAUAGGCUUGUAAGCAUUACAGGCAAGAAUUUGUUUAUUAUCCUGACCUCCGAUCUAUGAUCAGAGAUAGGUAUGCUUUACCCAUUGUAAAUGUAGUUUUCAUUUGUAAAUUUAACAAGAGAAAGCACAUGAUUGUUAUAUUAUAUACCAUUUUAUAUAGAUAAUUUUUAUAGCUUAUUAUAUCUACCGGUAUUUGAUAGCGCUACAAAGAAAAAUGAAAAAAGUUGUGUUUUUGCUAGGUGAACCAUGGAAGUAUAGGUAAAGACAACUUUCACAUUCGUGCAUUUUCCUAUACUUUUCCAAUGUCUCAAUGCUUGUGUUAAAUGUCAGAGUAAGAGUUGAUUGUUCAAUGACGUCAUUUACACCAAUUGACUAAUAGUCGACCAGCGUAACUUAUUCGUAAAACAGAACUCAACCCGAAAUCGGUCUGUUACAUUUAUUUUUACUCAUUUUUAGCUCAUCUGGCCCAAUGAAACUGCUGGGCCAAAUUUAACCAAACUUGGCCACAAUCAUCAUUAGGGUAUCUAGUUAAAAAAAUGUGUCCGAUGACCCAGCCCGCAAACCAAGAUGGCCGACAUGGCUAAAAAUAGAACAUAGGGGUAAAAUGUAGAUUUUGGCUUAUAUCUCUGAAACCAAAGUAUUUAGAGCAAAUCUGACGUGGAAAAUUUGUUCAUCAGGUCAAGAUCUAUCUGCCCUGAAAUUUUCAGACGAUUCAGACAAUCUGUUGUUGGGUUGCUGCCCCUAAAUUGGUAAUUUUAAGGAAAUUUUGCAGGUUUGGUUAUUAUCUUGAAAAUUAAUAUAGAGAUAAACUGUAAACAGCAAUAAUGUUCAGCAAAGUAAGAUCUACAAAUAAGUGAACAUGACCAAAAUUGUCAAUUGACCCCUUAAGGAGUUAUUGCCCUUUAAAGUCAAUUUUUCAGAAAUUUUUGUAAUCUUUUACAAAAAUCUUCUCUGAAACUACUGAGACAAAUUUAACCAAAUUGGCCACAAUCAUCAUUAGAUUCAAAAAUGUGUCCAAUGACCCCGCCUGCCAACGAACAUGGUUGAUAUGGCUAAAAAUAGAACAUAGGGGUAAAAUGCAGUUUUUGUCUUAUAUCUCUGAAACAAAAGCAAAAGUAUAAUGGUUGCAUUAUUUCAUGAAUCAAUUGUAAACAAAAAUAUCAGGUGAGCAACACAGGCUCCUUGGAGUCUCUUGUUGAAAGAGCUACAAUUAGUUUUGUAUAGCAACAACAAAUUUCAUACAGACCAUAACCUAAAGUAAACAUGCAAUAAUGUUUCAUAUUGCACUAGUGCAAAUAAAGCUUUAAAUAUGAUGCAAAACAAAAAAAUGUUUUGAGCUUUACUGUACAAAAGUAGGGUUAUAGCAUGAAUAUUGGUGCGAAUACUUUCCCUUGUAAAAUAUAUAUAACGCACACAAGCCCAUGCAAUUUACAAAUCUACUUCUGACAAUAUUCAUAAAUAUUCAUGCAAUAACCAUCUUUAUUAAUUUACAAAUUAGACCAUCUAGCAAGCAAUCUAAUGCAAAUUAUAUUCAUUUUUUUGUACACUCUCAAAUACUGUAAAUUCAGAAAUUAUUGUGAGGUUUUUAUUUAUGUGAAUAAUGCCACUGGGUGAGUAUCACAAUAAUAAGAACUCACAUUCUGAUAUCUGAUACAUUGAUCUCUAUGCAGAUUUUCCUGAAAUCACAAUAAUUAAAAUCGCAUAUUUCCAUUCUUCAAAAAAUUACAAUAAAAAAUGCACGCAAUAUUUCUGAAUUAACAUUAGUUAAGCUGUAAGUAAUAUUUUCUUGUAUUAUUUUAUAAAGCUGUAAAAUUGUAAGUGCUAAGGAUGUUAUUUUUAUAAUAAAUAUAUGAUUUAAAUAAAA
Molecule: long non-coding RNA, 6727 nt
Organism: Mytilus californianus (California mussel)
Lineage: Eukaryota; Metazoa; Mollusca; Bivalvia; Mytilida; Mytilidae
Exons: 2
Source: RefSeq, a predicted model, not a curated record